CAGCCGUAAACUAUGCGCGUUAGGUGUAUCGGUGACCACGAGUUACCGAGGUGCCGAAGGGAAACCGUGAAACGUGCCGCCUGGGAAGUACGGUCGCAAGGCUGAAACUUAAAGGAAUUGGCCGGGGGGAGCACCACAACAGGUGGAGCCUGCGGUUUAAUUGGACUCAACGCCGGGAAGCUCACCGGAUAGGACAGCAGAAUGAUUGCCGGGCUGAAGACCCUGCAUGACUAGCUGAGAGGUGGUGCAUGGCGUCAGUGACU
This 263-nucleotide ribosomal RNA is filed under the name uncultured archaeon. RNAcentral describes it as "partial 16S ribosomal RNA". It matches the Rfam family "Archaeal small subunit ribosomal RNA", at positions 748 to 1008 of the family's 1478-position model. The record is from RNAcentral.